CUGCGAGUUCGCGGGAGAGUAGGUUAUUGCCAGGGUUUUUGUUUUUAUGCUUUUAACUUUGAUUUUAUUUUUGCGUUUUUAAAUAUUAGUGUUUUUGAAUGUGUUAUUUAAAUAACAUAAAAAAUGAAAUAUAUAUUGACAUGUAUUAAACAAAGAUAUAUAUUACUUUAUGUUGCAUAAACAAAUUGGCAAAAUAGAGAUGGAAGAUAAAAAUAUGGUCAAAGUAAUAAGAGUCUAUGGUGAAUGCCUAGGA
This 253-nucleotide unclassified non-coding RNA is filed under the name Borreliella sp. Ir-3519. Lineage: Bacteria; Pseudomonadati; Spirochaetota; Spirochaetia; Spirochaetales; Borreliaceae. The record is from RNAcentral.